UCUUUUGUAUUUCUUGAUCCACAUCACUACUUUUAUUGAUUUUAAACUAAAACUACUUAACGAGAAGGAAAAAAAACCCCAUUGUCCAGACCCUGGCAUCAUCUUGGUCAUUAGCUCCAGCUCUGGCUACUGAGCGUGGAUCCGAAUCUGCCAAAAAUAUAUAACCAGUUGUACUGCUUUUAAAAAAGUGGAUUCCUUGUUUUAGUGUGUAACUAUUUUAACUUUUUUUUUCUUUUUAAGGCUCAGCAGCAUUUAUUUAAAAAAACUGAUGUAAGUAAAAGUAACGUGAUGUGGUUGAGAAUUAACUGUGUGGAUGUUCUUGCUGUGAUAUUCAAUAUGGAGACAAAAUUAAAUACACAAUAAAAACUUGGCUCCUGUGAGAUGACAGGUACCACUGCUGGCUGUGCAGGGACCACGCUGCUCUUGGGGUCCUGCAGUGUCACCCACCACUGCCCCUGGGUGGGGAGGGCAGGGCAGCACAUUCGGGUGCAGCUACGAGAGAGAGGAGCCAACACACAGAGCUCGGCUGGAAAUAAAGGCUGGAAUCUGGGGCAUUUAAGCACAAACUGUAACAGUUUCAAAGGAAAAGCACUUUUGUUUGCAGACAGUGGAGUGGAACAGAGAUCCUGCCCUGGCUGGCAGCAGCUUUGAACCACUGCCCAAGCAGCAGCAGGAGCUGUAACAACUGCAGGGAGAGUGCAAGGCCUCUGCAGAACUGUUGCCAAAUGCUGUGUUUAAUUCAGGUUCCCAGAGCACCCCUGACGGGCUCUGGUUUGCACACACGGCCCUGCUUGGGGCAGGGGACAAGGAUGUGGGUGCAGAGUGGCACAGGAAUGAGACACGUGCUCAGAAACUCAAACAUCACCACAAGUGUGAUUCAAGGAUUUAUUAAUUCUUACAUGCAAAACAUUCUGCUAAUUGCAUUAGCAAAAGAUCAAUGUAAAAACUUCACAAUUUUGCAACUUUUAAAUUUUGGUUUAGUGAAGCUGCUUCACAUGAUUUUUACACCUAGUUAAUAAGACUAAAAGCUCAGAAAGCAUAACUUACUGGGUCAGAAAUAAUGGGAAAAUAAGGAUAUGCUUGAACGUUCUACUCUAUAAAAGAAAAAGAAAGCAAAUUUCUAUCAUCAGAAAGGUUUUUAAAAUACAAGUUAUAUUGCUCAGUAAGAAGAGAUUCUACAAGAAAAGCAUUUACUACAUAAAAGUGGGAAUGACUGGUCCAGAAUUGAACCUACAUGAAUGCCCUACUUGAAAUUCAAAGGAAUUUACCUAUGAACACCAACCUCUCUCCACUACUGCACCUCUGGGAAAAUGGUGGCUGAGCUACCCUGGCAGUGUAGUGUAAGUCAUCUGUACAGUGUCAAAUACUGUCUGGCACUAUUGUCUGAUCCAACCCAAUAUUCCAUUUACCCAUCACAACACAAUGCUGUCAAAAGGACUAGAUACACUUCAGUAAGAAUAGUUAUUUAUUUUUUUAAAUCACAGCAGCAAGAACUAGAUUGCAACCAAGCCCUUACCAAUGAUAAAGCAUUUACACUGUGACUCGGGGGUGUCAGUCACUGCCAGGGGUUGGGGUUCAACACCCACCACAGGCAGUGGCUGCACUGAGAAAACAUUGAAUAACAAAACACGUCAGAGCUCAGUGUUCUGCUCAUUCCCGGUACUUACUGUGAAAAACUAGAAAGAUUUCGCAUUU
Molecule: long non-coding RNA, 1695 nt
Organism: Manacus vitellinus (golden-collared manakin)
Lineage: Eukaryota; Metazoa; Chordata; Aves; Passeriformes; Pipridae
Source: Ensembl